GAUGAACGCUGGCGGCGUGCCUAAUACAUGCAAGUCGAGCGAACAGACGAGGAGCUUGCUCCUCUGACGUUAGCGGCGGACGGGUGAGUAACACGUGGAUAACCUACCUAUAAGACUGGGAUAACUUCGGGAAACCGGAGCUAAUACCGGAUAAUAUAUUGAACCGCAUGGUUCAAUAGUGAAAGACGGUUUUGCUGUCCCUUAUAGAUGGAUCCGCGCCGCAUUAGCUAGUUGGUAAGGUAACGGCUUACCAAGGCAACGAUGCGUAGCCGACCUGAGAGGGUGUUCGGCCACACUGGAACUGAGACACGGUCCAGACUCCUACGGGCGGCAGCAGUAGGGAAUCUUCCGCAAUGGGCGAAAGCCUGACGGAGCAACGCCGCGUGAGUGAUGAAGGUCUUCGGAUCGUAAAACUCUGUUAUUAGUGAAGAACAAAUGUGUAAGUAACUAUGCACGUCUUGACGGUACCUAAUCAGAAAGCCACGGCUAACUACGUG
Molecule: ribosomal RNA, 497 nt
Filed under: uncultured bacterium
Lineage: Bacteria
Description: partial 16S ribosomal RNA
Rfam family: Bacterial small subunit ribosomal RNA
Source: RNAcentral